CCUGUUAAGUCAGAUGUGAAAGCCCGGGGGCUUUAAACCUCGGGAAUUUGCAUUUGAAACUGGCAGGCUAGAGUCUUGUAGAGGGGGGUAGGAAUUUCAGGUGUAGCGGUGAAAUGCGUAGAGAUCUGAAGGAAUACCAGUGGCGAAGGCGGCCCCCUGGACAAAGACUGACGCUCAGAUGCGAAAGCGUGGGGAGCCAAACAGGAUUAGAUACCCUGGUAG
RNAcentral lists this ribosomal RNA (222 nucleotides) under uncultured bacterium. RNAcentral's name for it is "partial 16S ribosomal RNA". It matches the Rfam family "Bacterial small subunit ribosomal RNA", at positions 579 to 793 of the family's 1533-position model. The record is from RNAcentral.